ACACGACUACAUUAGAUACCCGUGUAGUCCUAGCCGUAAACGAUACUCGCUAGGUGUCGGCCACGGUGCGACCGUUGUCGGUGCCGUAGGGAAGCCGUGAAGCGAGCCACCUGGGAAGUACGGCCGCAAGGCUGAACUUAAGGAAUUGGCGGGGGAGCACCACAACGGGUGGAGCUUGCGGUUUAAUUGGAUUCAACGCCGGAAAUCUUACCGGGACCGACAGCAACAUGAAGGCCAGGCUGAAGACUUUGCCGGAUUAGCUG
This 263-nucleotide ribosomal RNA is filed under the name uncultured archaeon. RNAcentral describes it as "partial 16S ribosomal RNA". It matches the Rfam family "Archaeal small subunit ribosomal RNA", at positions 719 to 982 of the family's 1478-position model. The record is from RNAcentral.